GUUUGGUUAAGUUAGAAAGGGCGCACGGUGGAUGCCUUGACACUAGGAGUCGAUGAAGGACGGGACUAACGCCGAUAUGCUUCGGGGAGCUGUAAGUAAGCUUUGAUCCGAAGAUUUCCGAAUGGGGAAACCCACCAUACGUAAUGGUAUGGUAUCCUUAYCUGAAUACAUAGGGUAAGGAAGACAGACCCAGGGAACUGAAACAUCUAAGUACCUGGAGGAAGAGAAAGCAAAUGCGAUUUCCUGAGUAGCGGCGAGCGAAACGGAACAUAGCCCAAACCAAGAGGCUUGCCUCUUGGGGUUGUAGGACAUUCUAUACGGAGUUACAAAGGAACGAGGUAGACGAAGCGACCUGGAAAGGUCCGUCGUAGAGGGUAACAACCCCGUAGUCGAAACUUCGUUCUCUCUUGAAUGUAUCCUG
RNAcentral lists this ribosomal RNA (421 nucleotides) under Bacillus cereus. RNAcentral's name for it is "bacterial LSU rRNA". It matches the Rfam family "Bacterial large subunit ribosomal RNA", at positions 1 to 410 of the family's 2925-position model. Lineage: Bacteria; Bacillati; Bacillota; Bacilli; Caryophanales; Bacillaceae. The record is from RNAcentral.